AACUACUGGAAACGGUGGCUAAUACCGCAUAACGUCGCAAGACCAAAGAGGGGGACCUUCGGGCCUCUUGCCAUCAGAUGUGCCCAGAUGGGAUUAGCUAGUUGGUGAGGUAACGGCUCACCAAGGCGACGAUCCCUAGCUGGUCUGAGAGGAUGACCAGCCACACUGGAACUGAGACACGGUCCAGACUCCUACGGGAGGCAGCAGUGGGGAAUAUUGCACAAUGGGCGCAAGCCUGAUGCAGCCAUGCCGCGUGUAUGAAGAAGGCCUUCGGGUUGUAAAGUACUUUCAGCGGGGAGGAAGGUGUUGUGGUUAAUAACCACAGCAAUUGACGUUACCCGCAGAAGAAGCACCGGCUAACUCCGUGCCAGCAGCCGCGGUAAUACGGAGGGUGCAAGCGUUAAUCGGAAUUACUGGGCGUAAAGCGCACGCAGGCGGUCUGUCAAGUCGGAUGUGAAAUCCCCGGGCUCAACCUGGGAACUGCAUUCGAAACUGGCAGGCUUGAGUCUUGUAGAGGGGGGUAGAAUUCCAGGUGUAGCGGUGAAAUGCGUAGAGAUCUGGAGGAAUACCGGUGGCGAAGGCGGCCCCCUGGACAAAGACUGACGCUCAGGUGCGAAAGCGUGGGGAGCAAACAGGAUUAGAUACCCUGGUAGUCCACGCCGUAAACGAUGUCUACUUGGAGGUUGUGCCCUUGAGGCGUGGCUUCCGGAGCUAACGCGUUAAGUAGACCGCCUGGGGAGUACGGCCGCAAGGUUAAAACUCAAAUGAAUUGACGGGGGCCCGCACAAGCGGUGGAGCAUGUGGUUUAAUUCGAUGCAACGCGAAGAACCUUACCUGGUCUUGACAUCCACGGAAGUUUUCAGAGAUGAGAAUGUGCCUUCGGGAACCGUGAGACAGGUGCUGCAUGGCUGUCGUCAGCUCGUGUUGUGAAAUGUUGGGUUAAGUCCCGCAACGAGCGCAACCCUUAUCCUUUGUUGCCAGCGGUCCGGCCGGGAACUCAAAGGAGACUGCCAGUGAUAAACUGGAGGAAGGUGGGGAUGACGUCAAGUCAUCAUGGCCCUUACGACCAGGGCUACACACGUGCUACAAUGGCGCAUACAAAGAGAAGCGACCUCGCGAGAGCAAGCGGACCUCAUAAAGUGCGUCGUAGUCCGGAUUGGAGUCUGCAACUCGACUCCAUGAAGUCGGAAUCGCUAGUAAUCGUGGAUCAGAAUGCCACGGUGAAUACGUUCCCGGGCCUUGUACACACCGCCCGUCACACCAUGGGAGUGGGUUGCAAAAGAAGUAGGUAGCUUAACCUUCGGGAGGGCGCUUACCACUUUGUGAUUCAUGACUGGGGUGAAGUCGUAACAAGGUAACCGUAGGGGAACCUGC
This 1374-nucleotide ribosomal RNA is filed under the name Salmonella enterica subsp. enterica. Its description in RNAcentral is "bacterial SSU rRNA". It matches the Rfam family "Bacterial small subunit ribosomal RNA", at positions 145 to 1515 of the family's 1533-position model. Lineage: Bacteria; Pseudomonadati; Pseudomonadota; Gammaproteobacteria; Enterobacterales; Enterobacteriaceae. The record is from RNAcentral.